UCUGGCUCACGCAAGUGAGCCCGCAGCUAAAGUUUCUCUGGCGACUGUUUACCAAAAACACAGCUCCCUGCUAACUCGUAAGAGGAUGUAUAGGGGGUGACGCCUGACCAAUGCGAGAAGGUUAACGGUGGCGGUGUGUGCAGCACUUAGUUUGUAAGUAAGUAACGCUUAUCAAUUAAGUGCUGUGCAUGCUAACUGCCCGAAGCCCUCGUCAAUGUCGGCGAUAACUAUAAUCGUCCAAAGGUAGCGCAACUCCUUGUCGGGUAAGUUCCGACGUGCAUGAAUGGCGUAACGACUGGAGAACUGUCUCAACGAGAAGCCCGGUGAAAGUGCGACACCAGCGAAGACGCUGGUACCCUAUAGCGGGACGAAAAGACCCCGGGAGCUUUACUGUAGCUUGAUAUUGGGUUUACGUUCUAAUUACGUAGCGUAGUGGGGAGAGGUUGAAGGUUUGAUUUCGGUUGGACUGGACUCGUCAAUGAAACACCCAUUUUUUAGAAUGUAUAUCCUAACCUUUGCGGAAAAACCGC
This 530-nucleotide ribosomal RNA is filed under the name Nitrososphaerota archaeon. Its description in RNAcentral is "Thaumarchaeota archaeon partial 23S ribosomal RNA". It matches the Rfam family "Bacterial large subunit ribosomal RNA", at positions 1750 to 2244 of the family's 2925-position model. Lineage: Archaea; Thermoproteati; Nitrososphaerota. The record is from RNAcentral.